AGAAGAAUGUUGCUUGGCCUGCUAUAAGCCCCUCCUUGGUAGCUGCUAUUGUCAGUAUCCGUCCCGAUUGCUAGGUGUACGUUGGAUUGGAUUGGUGCGGCCCGUUUCGAUUUUGUGUCGGUUUGCUGAAAUUGUCGGAGCAUUCUCCCGUCGAUGUGCAGUAACCUGCGUAGUGACAAGGUAUCCUAUGGAUCGAUG
RNAcentral lists this unclassified non-coding RNA (198 nucleotides) under Nassauvia cumingii. Its description in RNAcentral is "partial external transcribed spacer". The record is from RNAcentral. Lineage: Eukaryota; Viridiplantae; Streptophyta; Magnoliopsida; Asterales; Asteraceae.